GACGAACGCUGGCGGCGUGCUUAACACAUGCAAGUCGAACGAGUGGCGAACGGGUGAGUAAUACGUGAGUAACCUGCCCUCUUUUUGGGAUAAGCCUUGGAAACGGGGUCUAAUACCGGAUAAAGGGGGAUGGGCGCGCGGCCUAUCAGCUUGUUGGUGGGGUGGUGGCCUACCAAGGCGGUGACGGGUAGCCGGGCUGAGGGGGUGACCGGCCACAUGGGGACUGAGAUACGGCCCAGACUCCUACGGGAGGGAGCAGUGGGGGAUAUUGCACAAUGGGCGAAAGCGUGAUGCCGCGACGCCGCGGGGGGGAUGAAGGCUUUCGGGUUGUAAACCUCUUUCGCUAUGGAAAGGGUAGGUGGAGAAGAAGCGCCGGCUAACUACGUGCCAGCAGCCGCGGUAAUAC
Molecule: ribosomal RNA, 406 nt
Filed under: uncultured bacterium
Lineage: Bacteria
Description: partial 16S ribosomal RNA
Rfam family: Bacterial small subunit ribosomal RNA
Source: RNAcentral